RNAcentral lists this ribosomal RNA (392 nucleotides) under uncultured bacterium. RNAcentral describes it as "bacterial SSU rRNA". It matches the Rfam family "Bacterial small subunit ribosomal RNA", at positions 29 to 400 of the family's 1533-position model. The record is from RNAcentral.
AGCGAACGCUGGCGGCGUGCUUAACACAUGCAAGUCGAGCGAAGGUGUUUCAAGGGUAACCUUGAGAUACACUUAGCGGCGGACGGGUGAGUAAUACGUGGAUAACUUACCUCUAGGCCUGGGAUAACCCCGGGAACUGGGGCUAAUACCUGAUAAGACCACAUUGUCUACGGACAAAGGGGUGAAAGGUGGCUGUGCAAACAGCUAUCGCCAAAAGAUAGGUUCACGUCCCAUCAGGCAGUUGGUGAGGUAAUGGCUCACCAAACCAAAGACGGGUAGCCGGCCUUGGCGGGUGAACGGCCACACGGGGACUGAGACACGGCCCCGACUCCUACGGGAGGCAGCAGUGGGAAUAUUGGGCAAUGGGCGCAAGCCUGACCCAGCGACGUCGC